GAUGAACGCUGGCGGCGUGCCUAAUACAUGCAAGUCGAGCGAACGGACGAGAAGCUUGCUUUUCUGAUGUUAGCGGCGGACGGGUGAGUAACACGUGGAUAACCUACCUAUAAGACUGGGAUAACUUCGGGAAACCGUAGCUAAUACCGGAUAAUAUUUUGAACCGCAUGGUUCAAAAGUGAAAGACGGUCUUGCUGUCACUUAUAGAUGGAUCCGCGCUGCAUUAGCUAGUUGGUAAGGUAACGGCUUACCAAGGCAACGAGGCAUAGCCGACCUGAGAGGGUGAUCGGCCACACUGGAACUGAGACACGGUCCAGACUCCUACGGGAGGCAGCAGUAGGGAAUCUUCCGCAAUGGGCGAAAGCCUGACGGAGCAACGCCGCGUGAGUGAUGAAGGUCUUCGGAUCGUAAAACUCUGUUAUUAGGGAAGAACAUAUGUGUAAGUAACUGUGCACAUCUUGACGGUACCUAAUCAGAAAGCCACGGCUAACUACGUG
RNAcentral lists this ribosomal RNA (497 nucleotides) under uncultured bacterium. Its description in RNAcentral is "partial 16S ribosomal RNA". It matches the Rfam family "Bacterial small subunit ribosomal RNA", at positions 28 to 507 of the family's 1533-position model. The record is from RNAcentral.